RNAcentral lists this ribosomal RNA (253 nucleotides) under uncultured bacterium. RNAcentral's name for it is "partial 16S ribosomal RNA". It matches the Rfam family "Bacterial small subunit ribosomal RNA", at positions 524 to 776 of the family's 1533-position model. The record is from RNAcentral.
UACGUAGGGUGCAAGCGUUGUCCGGAAUUAUUGGGCGUAAAGAGCUCGUAGGCGGUCUGUCGCGUCGGCUGUGAAAUCCCGAGGCUCAACCUCGGGUCUGCAGUCGAUACGGGCAAACUAGAGUAUUGCAGGGGAGACUGGAAUUCCUGGUGUAGCGGUGAAAUGCGCAGAUAUCAGGAGGAACACCGGUGGCGAAGGCGGGUCUCUGGGACAGAACUGACGCUGAGGAGCGAAAGCAUGGGGAGCGAACAGG